Molecule: ribosomal RNA, 427 nt
Filed under: uncultured bacterium
Lineage: Bacteria
Description: bacterial SSU rRNA
Rfam family: Bacterial small subunit ribosomal RNA
Source: RNAcentral
GACGAACGCUGGCGGCGCGCCUAACACAUGCAAGUCGAACGAGCGAGAGAGAGCUUGCUUUCUCGAGCGAGUGGCGAACGGGUGAGUAACGCGUGAGGAACCUGCCUCAAAGAGGGGGACAACAGUUGGAAACGACUGCUAAUACCGCAUAAGCCCACGACCCGGCAUCGGGUAGAGGGAAAAGGAGCAAUCCGCUUUGAGAUGGCCUCGCGUCCGAUUAGCUAGUUGGUGAGGUAACGGCCCACCAAGGCAACGAUCGGUAGCCGGACUGAGAGGUUGAACGGCCACAUUGGGACUGAGACACGGCCCAGACUCCUACGGGAGGCAGCAGUGGGGAAUAUUGCACAAUGGGGGAAACCCUGAUGCAGCGACGCCGCGUGGAGGAAGAAGGUCUUCGGAUUGUAAACUCCUGUUGUUGAGGAAGAUA